CAGAGCUCUUAUAAUAUUUAUAAACUCGAAUAAUUAAUAAACGCGUUGAUGCGUUCUGUACUUUGUGGCCACAUACAACGUGUCUAUUUAAGUUGGCAACAUAUGAAAAACUUUUUUGUUAUUCAUUUUACGAAAAAAAGUACUUUACUCUUGAGCGAAAUUCAAAUAUGUUGACAUACCUCGUAUAGGAUUAAUAAAAUUUUAUCUGAUGGUUGGAUAUUAGGUUUGUAUGCAGAAAUUUGUAUAAAAAAUGACUUUUGUUCGUAAAAUUAAUAAUAAAAAAGUUCACAUUAUGUGGUCAACUUAAGCAGACACGCUGUAUAUUUAUGUGUGAAUAUUAGUUUUCAUUUUAAGCGCGCACAAUUUGACUUAAAUUUCUACCUUUAUAAUAUCUUUAGUAUAUAUUUCUAGCAAGUUUCAUUAGUAAUGGUAGAAGGUUGAUACAAGCAUUAAAUAUUUGCUAACACAUGUUAGCUCUUGUAACUGGGUAUGUUUAGUUGGAAGAAUGUUUAUAAUAGCUGUCAGACCGAUUCCUAUAUACCUAAUUGUUUGAAAUAUGGCAAACGAAAAUUAAGGAGGAAACCGGUAGAAAUUAUCAAGGGAAUGACAAUUCAAAUAAUCAUUCACAAUUUAAGAUCACAUAGAUAUUAAAGAUUUCAUCAUGAAUCAAAAGACUACAUUCACACUACAGAUACAACGUAGUAGAACUCCAGGUUCAGAGUUGGUACGAAAUUGGAUAUUCGGAUCAACUAAAGUCUAACUAAUAAAAGGUAAUAAAAUGUGAUGUAACAAAAAUGGAAGUACUGGUAGUAAAGACUGUUUUAACUGCAGUUAAACUGUAGAGUGAAGUAUUUCCUUCCAAUAUAUUUUUACGAAUUAUUAAGAGGUAUUUACUAGGGUAAUUAAAAAACAAAUUAUGCUGUAAAUUUUUUUAUAGGUUUUCAAUCUAUUGCCCAACACAGCUUAAGCUAUUCCAGAACAGAUGACCGAAUAUCACUUUAGCAGUGGCAGUAAUAUGCGCAAAUUAAAAAGGAGAGAGUAUGGCGUAACAACGAAAGUAAAUAUUAUUGCGUGCUGCUAAGAGAAAAGAGCUUCCCCAUUUCCUGGCCUAUCAAAAGCCAUUACCCAUCUCAUGGUCAGAUACAAAGUGGAUUUGGGCUGCCUGUAUGUAUUUAUAUUCUUUUUCUUCAUAUUUACACUAUUUAUUACAACUUCUCUAGGGCCCACCCAUUUAAAAGCAGAAAUCUAUAAGAAAAUGCAUACAAUUUAAAAUUUUGAAUGAUUCAUACUACAUCCCAAGGAUAUUAGAGGCAAUAUUCAGGGAGAACGGGAUCAGAACGCAAGGUACGAUCUAUGAUAGAAGAACUCAGGUACUUGCAUAUGCAGAUGACAUAGUAUUGAUAACAAGAACAAAAAGAGAACUGCUAAGAGUAUUUAA
Diabrotica virgifera virgifera (western corn rootworm) is the source of this 1438-nucleotide long non-coding RNA. RefSeq lists it as uncharacterized. The record is from RefSeq and is a predicted model, not a curated record. The transcript has 2 exons. NCBI's taxonomy places the organism in Eukaryota, Metazoa, Arthropoda, Insecta, Coleoptera, Chrysomelidae.